UACGGGGGGGGCAAGCGUUGUUCGGAAUUACUGGGCGUAAAGGGCUCGUAGGCGGCCAACUAAGUCGGACGUGAAAUCCCUCGGCUUAACCGGGGAACUGCGUCCGAUACUGGUUGGCUUGAGUUUGGGAGAGGGAUGCGGAAUUCCAGGUGUAGCGGUGAAAUGCGUAGAUAUCUGGAGGAACACCGGUGGCGAAGGCGGCAUCCUGGACCAAUACUGACGCUGAAGAGCGAAAGCCAGGGGAGCAAACGGG
Molecule: ribosomal RNA, 253 nt
Filed under: uncultured bacterium
Lineage: Bacteria
Description: partial 16S ribosomal RNA
Rfam family: Bacterial small subunit ribosomal RNA
Source: RNAcentral